UACGUAGGGCGCAAGCGUUGUCCGGAAUUAUUGGGCGUAAAGAGCUCGUAGGCGGUUUGUCGCGUCUGCUGUGAAAGCCCGGGGCUUAACCCCGGGUGUGCAGUGGGUACGGGCAGACUUGAGUGCAGUAGGGGAGACUGGAACUCCUGGUGUAGCGGUGAAAUGCGCAGAUAUCAGGAAGAACACCGAUGGCGAAGGCAGGUCUCUGGGCUGUUACUGACGCUGAGGAGCGAAAGCAUGGGGAGCGAACAGGAUUAGAUACCCGAGUAGU
RNAcentral lists this ribosomal RNA (271 nucleotides) under uncultured bacterium. RNAcentral's name for it is "partial 16S ribosomal RNA". It matches the Rfam family "Bacterial small subunit ribosomal RNA", at positions 524 to 794 of the family's 1533-position model. The record is from RNAcentral.